RNAcentral lists this ribosomal RNA (504 nucleotides) under uncultured bacterium. Its description in RNAcentral is "bacterial SSU rRNA". It matches the Rfam family "Bacterial small subunit ribosomal RNA", at positions 45 to 570 of the family's 1533-position model. The record is from RNAcentral.
CGCUUAACACAUGCAAGUCGAGCGAUGAAGCACCUUCGGGUGUGAAUUAGCGGCGAACGGGUGAGGAACACGUGAAGAAUCUGCCUUCAACUCUGGGAUAACUCCGGGAAACCGGGGCUAAUACCGGAUAUGAGCCUUGAUCGCAUGAUCGGGGCUGGAAAGUUUUUCGGUUGAAGAUGACUUCGCGGCCUAUCAGCUUGUUGGUGAGGUAAUGGCUCACCAAGGCGACGACGGGUAGCCGGCCUGAGAGGGCGACCGGCCACACUGGGACUGAGACACGGCCCAGACUCCUACGGGAGGCAGCAGUGGGUAAUAUUGGGCAAUGGAGGAAACUCUGACCCAGCGACGCCGCGUGAGGGAGAAGGCCUUCGGGUUGUAAACCUCUUCAGUAGGGAAGAAGCGAAAGUGACGGUACCUACGAAGAAGCCCGGCUAACUAUGUGCCAGCACCGCGGUAAUACAUAGGGUGCAAGCGUUGUCCGGAAUUAUUGGGCGUAAAGAGCUC